Equus caballus (horse) is the source of this 803-nucleotide long non-coding RNA. RefSeq lists it as uncharacterized. The record is from RefSeq and is a predicted model, not a curated record. NCBI's taxonomy places the organism in Eukaryota, Metazoa, Chordata, Mammalia, Perissodactyla, Equidae.
GACUCCUUGAUGCUUACCAUGGCCAAAGGUGACCAGAGGCUGAGGCACCUGGGGCAAUAGCCACAAGUGGUCCAGAGGACAGGGCCAGGACACAAGAGCAGAAGGAAAUGCCAUGCAGCAUUGGUAAACUGUGUCCCCAAUGGUGACAUUAAGGCAUGAAUUUCUCGAACCCACCAUCUUUCUCAUCCUGCCCCCAGGCCUCAGCAUUCAGCCGUGACCACCGUCCUGAGUCAGGAAUGUCAUUGUCUAGAAGAGUCUGAUUGCAAGAGGAAGAGAGAGGAAUAAAUCAUUAUUGAGGUCAAGGAGAAGAGCUUGGCUCAGCAACAAAAAAAUCAUGCCUUAUGGUUUGUCCCAGCAUUGCGAUCCAUUCCUGGGUUAAGAAUAGUGUAACUUCUCCCUCCCCAGUUAGCUCUUUUUCCUCCCUUCCCUCAUUCCCCACACACCUCCCCCAACAUGAGGAUGUUUAAAUUCUGGAAGUAGAGCUCCCAUCUGCUCACGUCUUCUCCUAUCACCAUGGUUACUGGGCCCAGAGUGGUCUCUGUGGAGACAGAGGCAGAACAGUAACCAGGGACAACUACAGAGCAAGAGGCAGUAAAAGUGAGGAUGAUUUUUCAACCCCCAGUUAAACUGGCAUGCCCAUACUGACAAGAUUUUGGAUUUUGAAGUGGCAUUUCAGAUUUUAAAGGCCUUUGAUCCAGAACAAAAGAUAAAAUAUGAUAUGUUUGGUAAUUCCUUACCACUAUAUUAAAAAACGCAAUAUUCGUGGUAUGCUACAUCUGAAAUGCUGGGGUGAGGGGUAGGGG